RNAcentral lists this ribosomal RNA (200 nucleotides) under uncultured bacterium. RNAcentral describes it as "partial 16S ribosomal RNA". It matches the Rfam family "Bacterial small subunit ribosomal RNA", at positions 8 to 236 of the family's 1533-position model. The record is from RNAcentral.
AGAGUUUGAUCCUGGCUCAGAGCGAACGCUGGCGGCAUGCUUAACACAUGCAAGUCGCACGGUCAGCAAUGGCAGUGGCGGACGGGUGAGUAACGCGUAGGAAUCUAUCCAUGGAUGGGGGAUAACGUCGGGAAACUGACGCUAAUACCGCAUGAUGCCCGAGGGCCAAAGACGCAAGUCGUCUGUGGAGGAGCCUGCGU